AAUGAACGCUGGCGGCAUGCCUAACACAUGCAAGUCGAACGAUGCUUUCGGGCAUAGGGGCGCACGGGUGCGUAACGCGUGGGAAUCUGCCCUCAGGUUCGGCAUAACAGUUGGAAACGCCUGCUAUACCGGAUGUUGACGUAAGCCCAAAUAUUUAUCGCCUGAGGAUGAGCGCGCGUAGGAUUAGGUAGUUGGUGGGGUACAGGCGCACCAAGCCGACGGUCCGUAGCUGGUCUGAGAGGGUGUUCACGCACGCUGGGACUGCGACGCGGGCCAGCAGUGGACAGGAGGGAGCAGUGGGGAAUAUUGGAAAAUGGGGGAGAGCCUGAUCCAACAACGCCGCGUGGGUGAUGAAGGCCUUAGGGUUGUAAAGCUCGUUUACCCGUGAUGAUAAUGACAGUACCGGGAGAAUAAGCACCGGCUAACUCCGUGCCAGCCGCCGCAGUAA
Molecule: ribosomal RNA, 448 nt
Filed under: uncultured bacterium
Lineage: Bacteria
Description: partial 16S ribosomal RNA
Rfam family: Bacterial small subunit ribosomal RNA
Source: RNAcentral